This 72-nucleotide transfer RNA is filed under the name Camelus bactrianus (Bactrian camel). It matches the Rfam family "tRNA". From Rfam's summary of the family: Transfer RNA (tRNA) molecules are approximately 80 nucleotides in length. The record is from Rfam by way of RNAcentral. RNAcentral also lists the same sequence under 1 other name. Lineage: Eukaryota; Metazoa; Chordata; Mammalia; Artiodactyla; Camelidae.
GAGGGUAUAGCUCAGUGGUAAAGUGCGUGCCAAGCAUGUGCAAGGUCCUGGGUUCAGUCCCCAGUACCUCCA